GGAAUAUUGCCCAAUGGGGGAAACCCUGAGGCAGCAACGCCGCGUGGAUGAUGACGGCCUUCGGGUUGUAAAAUCCUUUUCUGGGGGACGAUGAUGACGGUACCGCAGGAAGAAGUUCCGGCUAACUACGUGCCAGCAGCCGCGGUAAAACGUAGGGGACAAGCGUUAUCCGGAUUUACUGGGCGUAAAGCGCGCGCAGGUGGUUGGGCAAGUUGGCCGUGAAAGCUCCUGGCUUAACUGGGAGAGGUCGGUCAAAACUACUCGACUUGAGGAUGGAACAGGAGCGUAGAAUUCCCGGUGUAGUGGUGGAAUGCGUAGAUAUCGGGAGGAAUACCAGUGGCGAAGGCGGCGCUCUGGACCAGCCCUGACACUGAGGCGCGAAAGCGUGGGGAGCAAA
Molecule: ribosomal RNA, 397 nt
Filed under: uncultured bacterium
Lineage: Bacteria
Description: bacterial SSU rRNA
Rfam family: Bacterial small subunit ribosomal RNA
Source: RNAcentral